UACGUAGGGGGCAAGCGUUGUCCGGAAUCAUUGGGCGUAAAGAGCGCGUAGGCGGUCCGGUAAGUCCGCUCUGAAAGUCCGGGGCUCAACCCCGGGAGGCGGGCGGAUACUGUCGGGCUAGAGUCCGGAAGAGGCGAGUGGAAUUCCUGGUGUAGCGGUGAAAUGCGCAGAUAUCAGGAGGAACACCGGUGGCGAAGGCGGGUCUCUGGACAGUUCCUGACGCUGAGGCACGAAGGUCAGGGGAGCAAACGGG
Molecule: ribosomal RNA, 253 nt
Filed under: uncultured bacterium
Lineage: Bacteria
Description: partial 16S ribosomal RNA
Rfam family: Bacterial small subunit ribosomal RNA
Source: RNAcentral